Molecule: ribosomal RNA, 229 nt
Filed under: uncultured bacterium
Lineage: Bacteria
Description: partial 16S ribosomal RNA
Rfam family: Bacterial small subunit ribosomal RNA
Source: RNAcentral
UACGUAGGCGGAAGAUUAAGUCAGUGGUGAAAUCCUGCAGCUUAACUGUAGAACCGUCAUUGAUACUGGUUUUCUUGAAUUUAGUUGAGGUAGGCGGAAUGUGUAAUGUAGCGGUGAAAUGCUUAGAUAUUACACAGAACACCGAUUGCGAAGGCAGCUUACUAAACUAUGAUUGACGCUGAGGUACGAAAGCGUGGGGAGCGAACAGGAUUAGAUACCCUGGUAGUCC